GUAACUGGUUUUGUUUUAUUCUUCAAAAUACCACAAAAGGUCGGUGUCUGACCUGAAUAAGAGCUGCUUGAUUGUGAAGAAUCGCCCUUACUCUAAGGUCGAUUAUGAAUAAUAAGAAUUCAUGAACCUUAAGAAAUCUGACAUACCAAUAAUUGGCAUUUCUGAUGCGAAAUUUUCAAUUGGCAUUUAUCCGUUUCAGAUCCGUUCAUCAUCCGUUUUAUCCGUUAUACGUCCGGUAGAAAUCCGUUUCUCAUUCGUUCAACAUCCG
RNAcentral lists this long non-coding RNA (268 nucleotides) under Mytilus galloprovincialis (Mediterranean mussel). Lineage: Eukaryota; Metazoa; Mollusca; Bivalvia; Mytilida; Mytilidae. The record is from RNAcentral.